This 407-nucleotide ribosomal RNA is filed under the name uncultured bacterium. RNAcentral's name for it is "partial 16S ribosomal RNA". It matches the Rfam family "Bacterial small subunit ribosomal RNA", at positions 30 to 526 of the family's 1533-position model. The record is from RNAcentral.
AUUGAACGCUGGCGGCAGGCCUAACACAUGCAAGUCGAGCGGAGCGGCGGACGGGUGAGUAAUGCCUAGGAAUCUGCCUGGUAGUGGGGGAUAACGUCCGGAAACGGGCGCUAAUACCGAAUACUAGCAGAUGAGCCACUGUCGGAUUAGCUAGUUGGGGGGGUACAGGCCUACCAAGGCGAAGAGCCGUAACUGGUCUGAGAUGAUGAUCAGUAACACUGGCAUUGAGACACGGUCCAGAAUCCGACGGGAGGCAGCAGUGGGGAAUAUUGGACAAUGGUCGAAAGCCUGAUCCAGCCAUGCCGCGUGUGUGAAGAAGAUCUUCGGAUUGUAAAGCACUUUAAGUUGGGAGGCGUUACCAACAGAAUAAGCACCGGCUAACUUCGUGCCAGCCGCCGCGGUAAUUC